Long non-coding RNA from Zophobas morio, 422 nucleotides. RefSeq lists it as uncharacterized. The transcript is spliced from 3 exons. NCBI's taxonomy places the organism in Eukaryota, Metazoa, Arthropoda, Insecta, Coleoptera, Tenebrionidae. The record is from RefSeq and is a predicted model, not a curated record.
UGCCACGGCGGCCCCGAGUACACUUGAUUUGAGGCCUACUGCUGGAGACUAGCAUUGCGGCCAAACAGUCGGUAUGCUAAUUUUUUGUUAGAUUUCCCACCUUGCCCGAAAAGUGGACUCCCGCCUUAUGGAGGCAGCAAAUCGUUAAGGGAAUUGUCAAAGUUAGAUAACGACCUAAUUUAUUGGGUUGCAACUACGUUAAAGUCACGCCUAGAUUGUUAUUUUUUUGGUGCUCCUAAAUAUGUUAAGGAUAUUUUUUAUAAGGAUUGGAUUCCACCUCAGCUAUAAUUCAGGGAUCUUAGAUUUAUCUAAGCAUUUUUUAACUACUUUCAAUUGCCCAGUUAUAUUAAAUUACGAGUAUGCAUAGAAAGAAGGCCUUCGCGCUUAAAGUUCUCAAGGGUUUUACUCCCGAUUCUUCCUCU